This is a long non-coding RNA of Pteropus alecto (black flying fox), 597 nucleotides long. RefSeq lists it as uncharacterized. The transcript has 3 exons. The record is from RefSeq and is a predicted model, not a curated record. Lineage: Eukaryota; Metazoa; Chordata; Mammalia; Chiroptera; Pteropodidae.
GCCGCUGAGGCCUCUACCCUUCUCUCAGCCCCGCGCACUGGGCUUGCGCAAUAGACCCCGCCCCGCUCCCUGCUAUUGACACCCAGCGGGAGGGUAGGGAAGGACGCUGAACGCGAGCGGAGCGGGGCGGGAGAGGGCUCAGUUGCUGUUUGCUCUUCUGUCCCCUUCCUCCCCAAGUGUAAUGGAUAUCCACAUGGUGCUUCUUUAACUGUGAUGUGUGGUACCCAGGAAUGUAAGUCUGUAUGUCAGGAGGUAUAUAUGAGGAUGCUGAAUAAACUUGGCCCAUCUUCCCGGAGUGACAGUUUUACCUGAUGGCAGAUCAGAGGUGCCAGAGAAGACCGAGAGACUUGGGAAACGCUUCACCUGACUGCUCUGAGGUCCUAAAGUCACUGCUUUCUUUAUACACUCAACUGCCAUCUUAAAGAGAGGAGCAAUGAAGAGAAACCUGAGAGAUUGGACGAUUUACCUUAAAGCUGUUUUAGUUAUUGUAUCUGGUGAAAAUUCUUGGAUUAAAUUGAAUCUAUUUAUUUUCUGACUCUACCCUUUGUGAGUUGGGUAGAUCACCCCUAACAUCCCUGAAUGUGGUGUGAAUAAAUU